Molecule: ribosomal RNA, 253 nt
Filed under: uncultured bacterium
Lineage: Bacteria
Description: partial 16S ribosomal RNA
Rfam family: Bacterial small subunit ribosomal RNA
Source: RNAcentral
UACGGAGGGUGCAAGCGUUAUUCGGAUUCACUGGGUUUAAAGGGUGCGUAGGCGGACAGGUAAGUCAGUGGUGAAAUCUCUGGGCUUAACUCAGAAACUGCCGUUGAUACUAUUUGUCUUGAAUAUCUUGGAGGUAAGCGGAAUAUGUCAUGUAGCGGUGAAAUGCUUAGAUAUGACAUAGAACACCGAUAGCGAAGGCAGCUUACUACAGGAAGAGUGACGCUGAGGCGCGAAAGCGUGGGGAGCAAACAGG